Molecule: long non-coding RNA, 401 nt
Filed under: Rosa chinensis
Lineage: Eukaryota; Viridiplantae; Streptophyta; Magnoliopsida; Rosales; Rosaceae
Description: sRNA RchiOBHm_Chr1g0334771
Source: RNAcentral
CAAUUCUGGUGUGGAAGAAAACAAGGAAAAGACGGUGGUUAUCUAAAGCUUGACUUGUACGAGAAUUCUGUUAUCUAAAGUUGGGGAACUGCAUAUUUACCUUGCUAGCAAUCUAAUUUCAUGUUCAAGGCCUAUUGGCAAUGACGUAAUUAGCAUUUAUUUGGGAACAAUCUUCUUGCAAGGAAAGGAGAGGGCUGGAAAUCCUGAGACAUUGAGUCUAAAGCUAGGAAGUGACAUUAUUUUAACUGAAAAGGUUCAACCCUGCGGUGGUAUUUGGAGUGACAACUGCUCUUUGAAAAUGGGAAGAAGACGCCCCUUCAUACUUGCAGGAUCUCUCAUUAUCUCUGUUGCCAUGCCAUAAGUCAAUCAUUGCAAUUCUAGAGCUGCGUGCUAGGUGGGGG